RNAcentral lists this long non-coding RNA (1239 nucleotides) under Papio anubis (olive baboon). Its description in RNAcentral is "lncRNA (ENSPANG00000038965.1)". Lineage: Eukaryota; Metazoa; Chordata; Mammalia; Primates; Cercopithecidae. The record is from RNAcentral.
AUGUAUUAUAUUAUCCCCAACUCUGUUAAUCUUCUGGUUUGCUGUUCUUCCAUUAUUAAAGACUUAAAAAAAAAAAAGAAAGAAAGAAAGAAAAAAAGGAAUUUAAAAAGUGCCCCAAGGCCAAUAUCGCCUCUCUGCCUGCCCAGCAAGGGAACAAUAUACUGUUUCUCAGGCUACGUGACUCGGAAAACUUACCCGUCAGGGAAAGCUGAGUCUUUAAAUUUACAGAACACCCACUCGCCCCGUUUGCCUAGCACUGUUUCCUACGUGCAGACUGCUAAUGGACUCGAGCGUCCCGUUUCUCGGCUCGGAUCCCAGAGGCUCCCGACCCUCUGUGGUAGGCACCGCCACCUCGCAGGGGGACGAUCCUGGCCCGCUCUGCGGCACAAAAACUUGACCUUAAAAAGCGCAGAAGCUCGUCUCUGGGAAGGGCGCGGCCUGGGAGGCGCGGCCCGCAGCUUCCGCCCCCAAAGAACGACUCGGAGGCCCCCUCCAGCCCCGGGUGCCCUGGCGCAGAAGCCGCGGGAGCAGUCCUUUCACGCGCCCCGCGUCCCUGUCCCGAAGCCCAGGGGCGGGGGCUCGGGCAGCAUCGCUCGUCCCCGCUGGUCCAGGGCUGCGGAGAAGCUGCAGGAGGCUCUGAAAAGCGAGCGUCGGGAACCCGGGCUCAGCAGUUCCCCCGGGCCCCCUGCGCCCCGCAGCAGCGCGGGCCAGGCUGCGCAGCGCUGGGCCCCGAAGGGCCAGGACGGCGGGAUGCCCCCGCUCCCGGCAAGGGCGCGCCCACGAGCCGCGUUCUUGGCACUCGGGGAGAGUCGCGGGAAAGCCCGGCGCUGGCGCGCCUGCGACUCCAGCCUGGCGGCUCCGCUCCGCCCGCGAGCCCAGGAAGCCGGCGCCGCGGCCCGCGUCCGUUAUCCAGGACACACUCCGCGCCUGCCGCCCGCCGCCCUUUCCCAGCGCUGGCCUCGGGGAACUUCCCCGCGUCCGGCCGCGGACAGCGGCUGCUGCGGGAGCCGCGAAGUUGCGGCUUCUGCUAGGCGCGCGUGCGCGCCGGGUAGCCCACCUGGCCCGCGACGCUGUGUCCGCCCGCCGCGCGCUCUGGUCGGCCCCGGGGUUACCGCAGGCGCAGGGAGAGGCCGGGGUUCAGCCCAGGUCCCCGCGCGGCUCCGCGAGGGCGCCCCCGCCUGCCGCCUGGAGAGGGACGCGGCGCCGAAGUUUUCCCCGGCGGGAAAACGAAAGUCGUGA